Molecule: ribosomal RNA, 492 nt
Filed under: uncultured bacterium
Lineage: Bacteria
Description: partial 16S ribosomal RNA
Rfam family: Bacterial small subunit ribosomal RNA
Source: RNAcentral
AGCGAACGCUGGCGGUAUGCCUAACACAUGCAAGUCGAACGGCAGCACAGUAAGAGCUUGCUCUUACGUGUGGCGAGUGGCGGACGGGUGAGGAAGACAUCGGAAUCUACUUUUUCGUGGGGGAUAACGUAGGGAAACGUACGCUGAUACCGCAUACGACCUACGGGUGAAAGCAGGGGAUCUUCGGACCUUGCGCGAUUGAAUGAGCCGAUGUCGGAUUAGCUAGUUGGCGGGGUAAAGGCCCACCAAGGCGACGAUCCGUAGCUGGUCUGAGAGGAUGAUCCGCCACACUGGCACUGAGACAGGGUCCAGACUCCUACGGGAGGCCGCAGUGCGGAAUAUUGGACAAUGGGCGAAAGCCUGAUCCAGCCAUACCGCGUGGGUGAAGAAGGCGUUCGGGUUGUAAAGCCCUUUUGUUGGGAAAGAAAAGAAGCAGGUUAAUCCCCCGCUGUUCUGACGGUACCCAAAGAAUAAGCACCGGCUAACUUCGUG